RNAcentral lists this unclassified non-coding RNA (238 nucleotides) under Hevea brasiliensis (rubber tree). Lineage: Eukaryota; Viridiplantae; Streptophyta; Magnoliopsida; Malpighiales; Euphorbiaceae. The record is from RNAcentral.
UCCAGCUUCAUCAGCGCCUUUGGCUUGGCAACCUUGUUGGGCCAGAUAUCCCAAAACUGCUUUCGGUAGUCGUCCGGCCAUCCGUCAUCGACAAGCGCGGCUUCGCGCGGUUCUUUCUGUUCUGACAUCNNNNNNUGGUAUCUGGGCUUUAACCUCACCCUUAACCGGUGGGUUAUCCGGGGGGUUAACCCCCGCCUUAAGCCUAGGGUUGCCACCACCUUUGCCGUUUUCCUUAUCC